GUCGUGAGAGCUGGGUUAAGUCCCGCAACGAGUGCAACCCUUGUCCCUAGUUGCUACGCAAGGGCACUCUAGGGAGACUGCCGGUGACAAACCGGAGGAAGGUGGGGAUGACGUCAAGUCCUCAUGGCCCUUAUGGGUAGGGCUUCACACGUCAUACAAUGGCCGGUACAGAGGGUCGCCAACCCGCGAGGGGGAGCCAAUCCCUAUAAAGCCGGUCGUAGUCCGGAUUGCAGUCUGCAACUCGACUGCAUGAAGUCGGAAUCGCUAGUAAUCGCGGAUCAGCAUGUCGCGGUGAAUACGUUCCCGGGUCUUGUACACACCGCCCGUCACACCAUGGGAGCGGGAUGUACCAGAAGUAGGUAGGCUAACCCGAGGGUAACUGAAGGGGGCCGCUUACCACGGUGCGUUUCGUGACUGGGGUGAAGUCGUAACAAGGUAGCCGUAUCGGAAGGUGCGGCUGGAUCACCUCCUUUCUCGGAAACAGGGAUCAGGAAUCAGGGAUCAGGGAUCAAACCCGGAUCACUGCCCUGCCAUCCCCAUUCCCACCUGCGAGUACCCACAACCUAUCGGUUGUAUUCAGGGAUCAGAAGUCAGGUAUCAGGUAUCAGAACACGGCAGUCAGAGGUUGCUGCGCGCGCGCAGCGCGCGGUAACUUUCUGAUCCCCGAUUCCUGAUUCCUGAUACCUGAACACCGGGCCUGUAGCUCAGUUGGUUAGAGCACCGUCUUGAUAAGGCGGGGGUCGAUGGUUCGAAUCCAUCCAGACCCACCAGGAUCAAGCCGGGGCUGUAGCUCAAUUGGGAGAGCGCCUGCUUUGCAAGCAGGAGGUCGUCGGUUCGAUCCCGUCCAGCUCCACCAGGUUCAGGUAUCAGAAUUCAGGAAUCAGGGAUCAGAAGAUUCCACACCACUAUCGGUUGCACGCCAGCACUCAGCAGUGGGCUUUCAGAAGGAUGAGAGUUCAGCGUUGAGAGCUGCAGUGUUCUUUAACAAUUGGGAAGGUAAGGGUUCACAUGACUUGAUGAGAGUCGUGUGAGCAAUAGGGUUGAGUUGUAUCUUCAAAAGCCGGUCACCUUUUAAAAAGGGGGGUGAGCGGUGGCGCGAGACACAACGUAACGGUGGAGUCCUUGCGAGGGCUCACAGUUAUGGGGUCAAGCGACUAAGUGCAUGUGGUGGAUGCCUUGGCGAUUACAGGCGAUGAAGGACGUGGCAGCCUGCGAAAAGCUGCGGGGAGCUGGCAAACGAGCAUUGAUCCGCAGAUGU
This 1258-nucleotide small RNA is filed under the name uncultured beta proteobacterium. RNAcentral's name for it is "bacterial SSU rRNA". The stretch from base 1 to 473 matches the Rfam family "Bacterial small subunit ribosomal RNA", at positions 1064 to 1533 of the family's 1533-position model. Lineage: Bacteria; Pseudomonadati; Pseudomonadota; Betaproteobacteria. The record is from RNAcentral.